RNAcentral lists this long non-coding RNA (809 nucleotides) under Androctonus crassicauda. The record is from RNAcentral. Lineage: Eukaryota; Metazoa; Arthropoda; Arachnida; Scorpiones; Buthidae.
AAUAAACAAUUUUUGAAACCAUUGUUAAGAUUACCCGAAAAAAACUGAUACGGUUCUUAUUGAUUCAAAAAAAACUGAUUGUGACUCUCAAGUAUUUGAGAUUCUUCUAUUACGCUCGUUGUUACAUGAAGUUUACCACUCCUGUUAUAUACAAUGCAAAUGUAAUAGAAAUCUGAAUGUGUCAUGAAAUUUAGAUAAAUUUAAACAUAACUAAAAUUUACAGUAUGGUCGAAGUCACACGACGCGUGUUUGUCGAGUCGGCAGCCGAAUCGACUGUUGAAUUGACAAUAAUUCUUUUUAUUCAAUUGAACUGUACAUACGAAUAUUUAAGCACGCAGUGGCUGCUCCAUAUCAGCAUUUUUUGUAGAACGAAUACUUUCAUCCCUUUAUUUAAAAUAGCAGUGUUCAGACGGCAUUGUUUUUCAAGCUGUUCUGAUAUGGUGAUUUACAAAAAUAUCUGGAUCGAAGUAAUUUUUAACAAAAAUUAUGAAGCGAAAAUUUCCGCGGCUAGAUAGAGUAUAGCGUUUGCAUUUUUAUGAUGUUAUUUGUGCCAUAUUCGUAUCGAUGCGUAUAAAAAUGGACAUUAUCAGUCGUAUUGGUCUCAAAGCGCGUAUGCCGAAUGAUCUUCAGUAUCGUAUGUACAGUUUGAAACGUUUGUCGAAUUGACAGCAGAAUUAUUUCGUCGGGCAUAUAUUGAGUGGCUUCCUGUAUAUAUGUUACGGUAACAGUGAUUAAUUGGUAAGUUUCUAGGUAAGUUUGAUAAAGUUCACUAAAUUUCUCACUUUUACCGGCGAUUAUGUAUAAUUCCC